This 283-nucleotide ribosomal RNA is filed under the name uncultured bacterium. RNAcentral's name for it is "partial 16S ribosomal RNA". It matches the Rfam family "Bacterial small subunit ribosomal RNA", at positions 334 to 634 of the family's 1533-position model. The record is from RNAcentral.
GGUACCUACGAGGGGCAGCAGUGGGGGAUAUUGCACAAUGGGGGGAACCCUGAUGCAGCGACGCCGCGUGGGUGAAGGAGCGUUUCGGCGCGUAAAGCUCUAUCGGCAGGGAAGAAGAUGACGGUACCUGACCAAGAAGCCCCGGCUAACUACGUGCCAGCAGCCGCGGUAAUACGUAGGGGACAAGCGUUAUCCGGAUUUACUGGGUGUAAAGGGGGCGCAGACGGCAAUGCAAGUCUGGAGUGAAAGCCCGAGGCCCAACCCCGGGACUGCUCUUGGAACU